CACGUAGGCGGACCGGAAAGUUGGGGGUGAAAUCCCGGGGCUCAACCCCGGAACUGCCUUCAAAACUAUCGGUCUGGAGUUCGAGAGAGGUGAGUGGAAUUCCGAGUGUAGAGGUGAAAUUCGUAGAUAUUCGGAGGAACACCAGUGGCGAAGGCGGCUCACUGGCUCGAUACUGACGCUGAGGUGCGAAAGCGCGGGGAGCAAACA
Molecule: ribosomal RNA, 207 nt
Filed under: uncultured bacterium
Lineage: Bacteria
Description: partial 16S ribosomal RNA
Rfam family: Bacterial small subunit ribosomal RNA
Source: RNAcentral